Molecule: unclassified non-coding RNA, 378 nt
Filed under: uncultured Simkaniaceae bacterium
Lineage: Bacteria; Pseudomonadati; Chlamydiota; Chlamydiia; Parachlamydiales; Simkaniaceae
Description: contains 16S-23S intergenic spacer region
Source: RNAcentral
UCCGAGUUGACCCCGGCAGUCUCUUAUGAGUCCCCACCAUCACGUGCUGGCAACUAAUGACAAGGGUUGCGCUCGUUGCGGGACUUAACCCAACACCUCACGGCACGAGCUGACGACAGCCAUGCAGCACCUAUACAGCAGCCCUUGCGGGAGAUCUCAUUUCUGAGACUGUCCGCUGUAUUUCGAGCCUGGGUAAGGUUCUUCGCGUUGCAUCGAAUUAAACCACAUGCUCCACUGCUUGUGCGGGCCCCCGUCAAUUCUUUUGAGUUUCACUCUUGCGAGCGUACUUCUCAGGCGGUAUACUUAACGCGUUAGCUACGACACAGCCAGGGUUGAGCCUAGCUAUAUCAAGUAUACAUCGUUUACGGCAAGGACUAC